Molecule: ribosomal RNA, 793 nt
Filed under: uncultured archaeon
Lineage: Archaea
Description: bacterial SSU rRNA
Rfam family: Archaeal small subunit ribosomal RNA
Source: RNAcentral
ACGGCUCAGUAACACGUGGACAACCUACCCUCAGCACGGGGAUAAACCCGGGAAACUGGGUAUAAUACCCGAUAGUUCUGGGAUGCUGGAAUGCAUCCAGGACGAAAGCUCCGGCGACUGAGGAUGGGUCUGCGGCCUAUCAGGUAGUAGUGGGUGUAAUGUACCUACUAGCCUACGACGGGUACGGGUUGUGAGAGCAAGAGCCCGGAGAUGGAUUCUGAGACACGAAUCCAGGCCCUACGGGGUGCAGCAGGCGCGAAAACUUUACAAUGCUGGCAACAGCGAUAAGGGGACCUCGAGUGCCAGGAUACAAUCUUGGCUGUCGUAAUGCCUAAAAAGCAUUGCAUAGCAAGGGCCGGGCAAGACCGGUGCCAGCCGCCGCGGUAACACCGGCGGCUCGAGUGGUAACCGCUAUUAUUGGGUCUAAAGGGUCUGUAGCCGGCCGGAUAAGUCUCUUGGGAAAUCCAGCUGCUCAACAGUUGGGCUUUCAGGAGAUACUGUUCGGCUCGAGGCCGGGAGAGGUGAGAGGUACUUCAGGGGUAGGGGUGAAAUCUUGUAAUCCUUGAAGGACCACCAGUGGCGAAGGCGUCUCACCAGAACGGUCCUGACGGCAAGGGACGAAAGCUAGGGGCACGAACCGGAUUAGAUACCCGGGUAGUCCUAGCCGUAAACGAUACUCGCUAGGUGUCAGCCACGGUGCGACCGUGGUUGGUGCCGUAGGGAAGCCGUGAAGCGAGCCACCUGGGGAGUACGGCCGCAAGGCUGAAACUUAAAGGAAUUGGCGGGGGAGCAC